Molecule: ribosomal RNA, 250 nt
Filed under: uncultured bacterium
Lineage: Bacteria
Description: partial 16S ribosomal RNA
Rfam family: Bacterial small subunit ribosomal RNA
Source: RNAcentral
UACGUAGGGCGCAAGCGUUGUCCGGAAUUAUUGGGCGUAAAGAGCUCGUAGGUGGCUUGUCGCGUCUGCCGUGAAAGACUCGGGCUUAACUCGGGUUCUGCGGUGGAUACGGGCUGGCUAGAGGUAGGUAGGGGAGAACGGAAUUCCUGGUGUAGCGGUGAAAUGCGCAGAUAUCAGGAGGAACACCGGUGGCGAAGGCGGUUCUCUGGGCCUUACCUGACGCUGAGGAGCGAAAGCGUGGGGAGCGAAC